GAUUUAUACAGAAGAAGGGAGAGGCAGUCUCGUUGAACUUCUAGCAACUUUCCAUAGGAAAAAGUGCUCAAACUGAUCUAGAAAUAGAUUAUAAAUU
RNAcentral lists this non-coding RNA (97 nucleotides) under Pedobacter antarcticus. RNAcentral's name for it is "Sphingobacterium antarcticus SAM-I sequence". It matches the Rfam family "SAM riboswitch aptamer (S box leader)". Rfam says of the family: The SAM riboswitch is found upstream of a number of genes which code for proteins involved in methionine or cysteine biosynthesis in Gram-positive bacteria. Lineage: Bacteria; Pseudomonadati; Bacteroidota; Sphingobacteriia; Sphingobacteriales; Sphingobacteriaceae. The record is from RNAcentral. RNAcentral also lists the same sequence under 1 other name.